CAACCGGUGGAGUAUGUGGUUUAAUUCGAUACAAAGCGAAAAACCUUACCCAGAUUUGACAUGUACCUGCACGGCUAUGGAAACAUAGCUUUCUUCGAGAGUGGUACACAGGUGAUGCAUGGCUGUCGUCAGCUCGUGUCGUGAGACGUCUACUUAAGUGUAGUAACGAGCGCAACCCUUGUUCUGUGUUAUAAGUGUCACAGAAGACUGCCUUUGUUAUACAAAGGAGGAAGGAGAGGAUGACGUCAAGUCAGCAUGUCCCUUACAUCUGGGGCAACACACAUUCUACAAUGGAGCCGACAACAGGUCGCAACGGGGCAACCCCGAGCUAAUCCUCUAAACGGCCCCUCAGUUCGGAUUGAGGGCUGCAAUUCGCCCUCAUGAAGCCGGAAUCGGUAGUAAUCGCAAAUCAGCAUGUUGCGGUGAAUACGUUCUCGCUCCUUGUACA
This 448-nucleotide ribosomal RNA is filed under the name Candidatus Pacearchaeota archaeon. RNAcentral describes it as "bacterial SSU rRNA". It matches the Rfam family "Bacterial small subunit ribosomal RNA", at positions 926 to 1387 of the family's 1533-position model. Lineage: Archaea; Nanobdellati. The record is from RNAcentral.